This is a long non-coding RNA of Lethenteron reissneri (Far Eastern brook lamprey), 1920 nucleotides long. RefSeq lists it as uncharacterized. The record is from RefSeq and is a predicted model, not a curated record. NCBI's taxonomy places the organism in Eukaryota, Metazoa, Chordata, Hyperoartia, Petromyzontiformes, Petromyzontidae.
UUUUUCUGAGAUGGCAUCAAGAGGCUGCAAGCAUCCGGUAGACGCAUUUUGCUAUGUCUGCAGCCAAUUUAUAAGACAAGAGCGAAAAAAAUACUCUGUGGAAGCAUCUGCUAAGAUGUGUGAGGCCUAUAAGGCAUAUUUCGGCAUGCCUGUCGGGGAUCAAGACAAACCCUGGGCACCUCAUUUCACUUGCGAGCAAUGCAAAAAAACUCUGGAAGAAUGUUACAGGGGGGGGAAAAGAGCCAUGAAGUUCGCUUUCCCAAGAAUUUGGCGGGAAUCUACUGACCACUCAAGCAACUGCUACUUCUGCAUGGUCGACCCUUCCAAACGUCGGACUGGGCAGGAAUGCACCUGCUAUCAUGUAUCCGGACCGCCCUUCAUCCAUCGCCCCGGUGCCACACUGCCAUGAGCUCCCCAUACCCACUCCUCCGGAGAGAGAGCAGCCGUCUUUAGAAGAGAGCAGUAAGUCAGAGAGCGAGGAAGACGUUGUAUAUCCAGAUGACAAUUUCAGAGGUGUAGUUGAGGACAGAAACCCAUACUACCCCAACCAAAAAGACCUCAACGACUUGAUCAGAUAUCUUGGUCUCACCAAGUCCAAUGCCGAGCUUUUGACAUCUAGGCUCAAGUAGUGGAACUUGUUGGAUGAAAGUGUGCAAGUCGCAGAUCAGAGGAAGCAUCACCAAUCUUUUUACAGCUUCUUCACCCGUCAAGAUGGGCUCUACUUCUGCCACAAUGUGACCAGUCUGUUCGAGGCAAUCAGAAUCACCUGUAACCAGAAUGAGUGGCGCCUCUUCAUUGACAGCUGAUCCAGGAGCCUCAAAGCCGUGCUGCUCCAUAAUGGUAACAAGUACCCGUCUCUUCCUCUGGCUCAAUCGGUGCACCUCAAAGAGGAUUACAACAACAUCAAGACCUUGCUGGACGCCUUGAAGUAUGAUGAGUACGGUUGGGAGGUCAUUGGAGACUUCAAAAUGGUGGCAUUUCUGAUGGGUCUCCAAGGCGGUUUUACCAAGUUUCCCUGCUAUCUUUGCCUUUGGGACAGCAGGGACACCAAAGCGCACUACCACAGGCGGGACUGGCCACAGUAGACCGAGUUUUCUGUGGGGACGAACAACGUCAAGUGGGAGCUACUGGUGGACCCCCAGAAGGUGCUGAUGCCACCACUGUACAUACAAUUGGGCCUCAUGAACAAUUUGUCGGAGCUGAAGAUAAGGAGUCGGCAGACUUCAAGUGCCUUCAAGACUUCUUCCCUAAGCUGUCUGAGGCAAAGGUCAAAGCCGGCGUUUUUGCCGGAUCACAGAUAAAGAAGAUCCUGGAGUGCAAUGAAUUCCCCAAGAAGCUCACUAGUAAGGAAAAAGUGGCUUGGGACAGCUUUGUCACAGUGGUUCGUGGCUUCCUGGGCAAUCACAAGGUUGAAAACUAUGUGGCGCUGGUUGAGACUCUGGUGAAGAACUACGGCACGAUGGGCUGUAGGAUGUCCCUCAAAGUCCAUAUCCUUGAUGCUCAUCUUGAUAAAUUCAAGGAGAACAUGGGAGUGUACUCGGAGGAGGAAGGCAAGCGCUUCCACCAGUAUAACGAGAACAUGAUGAUGUGAAGUUUUCGUGACUGCAGGAAUCCAUACUGUUUGUUUCUUUUGGUAAAGUGACGUAUAAAAAUAAUAAUAGAUCAUGACGUUUCGAUUGCCACACAAGCGAUCGUCCUCAAGUGAUCGUCCUCAGGACAAAAAAGACCAUUCAAUGAAACUGGUAUUGCCAAACACAUCCCAAUGUUGAAAUAUUACCCACUCAACUUGGAUUACACGUCGCAACAUGACCCCCUACUUCAACACCUGGCACGACUCUCCUGAACAAGAGUCUCGAAACUCAGCGAGGCUUCCCUGGGUAAACAACCGUAAUAACAAUAAAUAAUGGUUGACUGAUUCGA